GUAGGUGGCAAGCGUUGUCCGGAAUUAUUGGGCGUAAAGCGCGCGCAGGCGGUUUUUAAGUCUGAUGUGAAAGCCCACGGCUCAACCGUGGAGGGUCAUUGGAAACUGGGAACUUGAGUACAGAAGAGGAAAGCGGAAUUCCACGUGUAGCGGUGAAAUGCGUAGAGAUGUGGAGGAACACCAGUGGCGAAGGCGGCUUUCUGGUCUGUAACUGACGCUGAGGCGCGAAAGCGUGGGGAGCAAACAGGGAUUAGAUACCCUGGUAGUCCACGCCGUAAACGAUGAGUGCUAAGUGUUAGGGGGUUUCCCGCCCCUUAGUGCUGCAGCUAACGCAUUAAGCACUCGCCUGGGGAGUACGCCGCAAGGCUG
Molecule: ribosomal RNA, 369 nt
Filed under: uncultured organism
Description: partial 16S ribosomal RNA
Rfam family: Bacterial small subunit ribosomal RNA
Source: RNAcentral